This 468-nucleotide ribosomal RNA is filed under the name uncultured bacterium. RNAcentral describes it as "partial 16S ribosomal RNA". It matches the Rfam family "Bacterial small subunit ribosomal RNA", at positions 28 to 507 of the family's 1533-position model. The record is from RNAcentral.
GACGAACGCUGGCGGCGUGCUUAACACAUGCAAGUCGAACGGAAAGGCCCUGCUUUUGUGGGGUGCUCGAGUGGCGAACGGGUGAGUAACACGUGAGUAACCUGCCCUUGACUUUGGGAUAACUUCAGGAAACUGGGGCUAAUACCGGAUAGGAGCUCCUGCUGCAUGGGGGGGGUUGGAAAGUUUCGGCGGUUGGGGAUGGACUCGCGGCUUAUCAGCUUGUUGGUGGGGUAGUGGCUUACCAAGGCUUUGACGGGUAGCCGGCCUGAGAGGGUUACCGGCCACAUUGGGACUGAGAUACGGCCCAGAAUCGUACGGGAGGCAGCAGUGGGGAAUAUUGCGGAAUGGGCGGAAGCCUGAUGCAGCAACGCCGCGUGCGGGAUGACGGCCUUCGGGUUGUGAACAGCUUUCGCCUGUGACGAAGCGUGAGUGACGGUAAUGGGUAAAGAAGCACCGGCUAACUACGUG